CCGCAAGGCUGAAACUCAAAGGAAUUGACGGGGGCCCGCACAAGCGGUGGAGCAUGUGGUUUAAUUCGAAGCAACGCGAAGAACCUUACCAGGUCUUGACAUCCUCUGAAAACCCUAGAGAUAGGGCUUCUCCUUCGGGAGCAGAGUGACAGGUGGUGCAUGGUUGUCGUCAGCUCGUGUCGUGAGAUGUUGGGUUAAGUCCCGCAACGAGCGCAACCCUUGAUCUUAGUUGCCAUCAUUAAGUUGGGCACUCUAAGGUGACUGCCGGUGACAAACCGGAGGAAGGUGGGGAUGACGUCAAAUCAUCAUGCCCCUUAUGACCUGGGCUACACACGUGCUACAAUGGACGGUACAAAGAGCUGCAAGACCGCGAGGUGGAGCUAAUCUCAUAAAACCGUUCUCAGUUCGGAUUGUAGGCUGCAACUCGCCUACAUGAAGCUGGAAUCGCUAGUAAUCGCGAUCAGCAUGCGCGUAU
Molecule: ribosomal RNA, 475 nt
Filed under: Bacillus sp. EB45
Lineage: Bacteria; Bacillati; Bacillota; Bacilli; Caryophanales; Bacillaceae
Description: bacterial SSU rRNA
Rfam family: Bacterial small subunit ribosomal RNA
Source: RNAcentral